Molecule: transfer RNA, 17 nt
Filed under: Alectoris chukar (chukar partridge)
Lineage: Eukaryota; Metazoa; Chordata; Aves; Galliformes; Phasianidae
Also listed under: 4 other names
Description: partial transfer RNA-Phe
Source: RNAcentral
GCCCACAUAGCUUAACC